This 563-nucleotide ribosomal RNA is filed under the name uncultured Bacillota bacterium. RNAcentral describes it as "bacterial SSU rRNA". It matches the Rfam family "Bacterial small subunit ribosomal RNA", at positions 97 to 662 of the family's 1533-position model. Lineage: Bacteria; Bacillati; Bacillota. The record is from RNAcentral.
GGCAGACGGGUGAGUAACACGUGAACAACCUACCCUCGAGUGGGGAAUAACACCGCGAAAGCGGUGCUAAUACCGCAUAACAUCUUCGGGUUGCAUGACCUGAAGAUCAAAAGCGCAAGUUGCUUGAGGAGGGGUUCGCGCCUGAUUAGCUAGUUGGUGAGGUAACGGCCCACCAAGGCGACGAUCAGUAGCCGGCCUGAGAGGGCGAACGGCCACACUGGAACUGAGACACGGUCCAGACUCCUACGGGAGGCAGCAGUGGGGAAUUUUGCGCAAUGGGCGAAAGCCUGACGCAGCAACGCCGCGUGGAGGAUGAAGGCCUUCGGGUCGUAAACUCCUGUCAGUGGGGACGAAUGCUUCGCAAGAAGUUUGACUGUACCCGCUGAGGAAGCCACGGCUAACUCCGUGCCAGCAGCCGCGGUUAUACGGAGGUGGCAAGCGUUGUUCGGAAUUAUUGGGCGUAAAGGGCGCGUAGGCGGCUUGGCAAGUCAGAUGUGAAAGCCCCGGGCUUAACUCGGGAAUUGCAUCUGAAACUGCUUAGCUUGAGUUCUGGAGGGGGUAGU